RNAcentral lists this ribosomal RNA (457 nucleotides) under uncultured Rhodocyclaceae bacterium. RNAcentral describes it as "bacterial SSU rRNA". It matches the Rfam family "Bacterial small subunit ribosomal RNA", at positions 924 to 1382 of the family's 1533-position model. The record is from RNAcentral. Lineage: Bacteria; Pseudomonadati; Pseudomonadota; Betaproteobacteria; Rhodocyclales; Rhodocyclaceae.
CACAAGCGGUGGAUGAUGUGGAUUAAUCGAUGCAACGCGAAAACCUUACCUACCCUUGACAUGUCCGGAAUCCCGAAGAGAUUUGGGAGUGCUCGCAAGAGAACCGGAACACAGGUGCUGCAUGGCUGUCGUCAGCUCGUGUCGUGAGAUGUUGGGUUAAGUCCCGCAACGAGCGCAACCCUUGUCAUUAGUUGCCAUCAUUUGGUUGGGCACUCUAAUGAGACUGCCGGUGACAAACCGGAGGAAGGUGGGGAUGACGUCAAGUCCUCAUGGCCCUUAUGGGUAGGGCUUCACACGUCAUACAAUGGUCGGUACAGAGGGUUGCCAACCCGCGAGGGGGAGCUAAUCCCACAAAGCCGAUCGUAGUCCGGAUCGCAGUCUGCAACUCGACUGCGUGAAGUCGGAAUCGCUAGUAAUCGUGGAUCAGCAUGUCACGGUGAAUACGUUCCCGGGUCUU